Molecule: long non-coding RNA, 279 nt
Organism: Octopus bimaculoides (California two-spot octopus)
Lineage: Eukaryota; Metazoa; Mollusca; Cephalopoda; Octopoda; Octopodidae
Source: RefSeq, a predicted model, not a curated record
GACAAAUGCAGGUGGGCGAAUUAACGAAACAAUGGAUUACCUGCAGGUCUACCUACUCUGGCCAGCAAUUUUGUGAUAAUGGAGUUAGUUUAUGCCAUCGACCCCAGAGCUUGUACUUGACUGGUACUUUAUUUUAUCGACCUCGAAAAGAUGAAAAGCAAAGUUGACCACUGCCCGAUUUGAAAUCAGAAGAUAAAGGACUGAAGCGAAUGUCGUAAAGUAUUUUUCCAGACAUUCUGACAAUUUUUGCAAAUAAUAAAAUGAGAUGCACAACUGAAA